RNAcentral lists this ribosomal RNA (500 nucleotides) under uncultured bacterium. RNAcentral describes it as "partial 16S ribosomal RNA". It matches the Rfam family "Bacterial small subunit ribosomal RNA", at positions 28 to 523 of the family's 1533-position model. The record is from RNAcentral.
GUUGAACGCUGGCGGCAUGCCUUACACAUGCAAGUCGAACGGCAGCACGGGAGCAAUCCUGGUGGCGAGUGGCGAACGGGUGAGUAAAGUAUCGGAACGUGCCCAGUCGUGGGGGAUAACGUAGCGAAAGUUACGCUAAUACCGCAUACGAUCUAUGGAUGAAAGCGGGGGAUCGCAAGACCUCGCGCGAUUGGAGCGGCCGAUAUCAGAUUAGGUAGUUGGUGGGGUAAAGGCUCACCAAGCCGACGAUCUGUAGCUGGUCUGAGAGGACGACCAGCCACACUGGGACUGAGACACGGCCCAGACUCCUACGGGGGGCAGCAGUGGGGAAUUUCGGACAAUGGGCGCAAGCCUGAUCCAGCCAUGCCGCGUGCAGGAUGAAGGCCUUCGGGUUGUAAACUGCUUUUGUACGGAACGAAAAGGUUUGACUUAAUACGUUGGACUCAUGACGGUACCGUAAGAAUAAGCACCGGCUAACUACGUGCCAGCAGCCGCCGUAA